GACGAACGCUGGCGGCGUGCUUAACACAUGCAAGUCGAACGGAAAGGCCCCGCUUUUGUGGGGUGCUCGAGUGGCGAACGGGUGAGUAACACGUGAGUAACCUGCCCUUGACUUUGGGAUAACUUCAGGAAACUGGGGCUAAUACCGGAUAGGAGCUCCUGCUGCAUGGUGGGGGUUGGAAAGUUUCGGCGGUUGGGGAUGGACUCGCGGCUUAUCAGCUUGUUGGUGGGGUAGUGGCUUACCAAGGCUUUGACGGGUAGCCGGCCUGAGAGGGUGACCGGCCACAUUGGGACUGAGAUACGGCCCAGACUCCUACGGGAGGCGGCAGUGGGGAAUAUUGCACAAUGGGCGGAAGCCUGAUGCAGCAACGCCGCGUGCGGGAUGACGGCCUUCGGGUUGUAAACCGCUUUCGCCUGUGACGAAGCGUGAGUGACGGUAAUGGGUAAAGAAGCACCGGCUAACUACGUG
Molecule: ribosomal RNA, 468 nt
Filed under: uncultured bacterium
Lineage: Bacteria
Description: partial 16S ribosomal RNA
Rfam family: Bacterial small subunit ribosomal RNA
Source: RNAcentral